AGAGUUUGAUCCUGGCUCAGGAUGAACGCUGGCGGCGUGCUUAACACAUGCAAGUCGAACGGAGAUUAUACGCAGAGGCGAUUUCGGUCAAAUCAUGUGUAAUCUUAGUGGCGGACGGGUGAGUAACGCGUGGGUAACCUGCCUUACACUGGGGGAUAACACUUAGAAAUAGGUGCUAAUACCGCAUAAGCGCACGAAGCCGCAUGGAUUUGUGUGAAAAACUCCGGUGGUGUAAGAUGGACCCGCGUCUGAUUAGCUUGUUGGCGGGGUAACGGCCCACCAAGGCGACGAUCAGUAGCCGGCCUGAGAGGGUGGACGGCCACAUUGGGACUGAGACACGGCCCAAACUCCUACGGGAGGCAGCAGUGGGGGAUAUUGGACAAUGGGGGGAACCCUGAUCCAGCGACGCCGCGUGAGUGAAGAAGUAUUUCGGUAUGUAAAGCUCUGUCAGCAGGGAAGAAAGAAAUGACGGUACCUGACCAAGAAGCCCCGGCUAACUACGUG
Molecule: ribosomal RNA, 504 nt
Filed under: uncultured Lachnospiraceae bacterium
Lineage: Bacteria; Bacillati; Bacillota; Clostridia; Lachnospirales; Lachnospiraceae
Description: bacterial SSU rRNA
Rfam family: Bacterial small subunit ribosomal RNA
Source: RNAcentral